GGAUGUGAGGGCAAUCUGGCUGCGACAUCUGUCACCCCAUUGAUCGCCAGGGUUGAUUUGGCUGAUCUGCCUGGCUAGGCGGGUGUCCCCUUCCUCCCUCACCGUUCCAUCUGCAUCCCUCCUGAAGCACUUGGUGGAAGAGGACUGCCAUCCCAGAUAGAAGGAGUGUACCGGUCUUCAGUCAAGGGUAUAUGAUAGCUGCGCUCCCCUGCUAGAACCCUCCAAACAAGCUGAAGGACAUCUGGGAUCCUAAGGCUGGGAGCCACUGGUUUAGAGAAAGCUUAGAAAUGCAAAAUGCAGGUGUGUUGUGCUUAGGGCAAGAAACAGACCUUAAUCCCUUCCUCCUCUUU
RNAcentral lists this small nuclear RNA (350 nucleotides) under Pogona vitticeps (central bearded dragon). Its description in RNAcentral is "7SK RNA (ENSPVIG00000014456.1)". The stretch from base 1 to 313 matches the Rfam family "7SK RNA". Rfam says of the family: 7SK was discovered as an abundant small nuclear RNA in the mid-70s but a possible function has only recently been suggested. The record is from RNAcentral. Lineage: Eukaryota; Metazoa; Chordata; Lepidosauria; Squamata; Agamidae.